ACCCAGUGUGUUUCGACACACUAUCAUUAACUGAAUCCAUAGGUUAAUGAGGCGAACCGGGGGAACUGAAACAUCUAAGUACCCCGAGGAAAAGAAAUCAACCGAGAUUCCCCCAGUAGCGGCGAGCGAACGGGGAGGAGCCCAGAGCCUGAAUCAGUGUGUGUGUUAGUGGAAGCGUCUGGAAAGGCGUGCGAUACAGGGUGACAGCCCCGUACACAAAAAUGCACAUAUUGUGAGCUCGAUGAGUAGGGCGGGACACGUGGUAUCCUGUCUGAAUAUGGGGGGACCAUCCUCCAAGGCUAAAUACUCCUGACUGACCGAUAGUGAACCAGUACCGUGAGGGAAAGGCGAAAAGAACCCCGGCGAGGGGAGUGAAAAAGAACCUGAAACCGUGUACGUACAAGCAGUGGGAGCCUCUUAAUGGGGUGACUGCGUACCUUUUGUAUAAUGGGUCAGCGACUUAUAUUCUGUAGCAAGGUUAACCGAAUAGGGGAGCCGAAGGGAAACCGAGUCUUAACUGGGCGUUAAGUUGCAGGGUAUAGACCCGAAACCCGGUGAUCUAGCCAUGGGCAGGUUGAAGGUUGGGUAACACUAACUGGAGGACCGAACCGACUAAUGUUGAAAAAUUAGCGGAUGACUUGUGGCUGGGGGUGAAAGGCCAAUCAAACCGGGAGAUAGCUGGUUCUCCCCGAAAGCUAUUUAGGUAGCGCCUCGUGAAUUCAUCUCCGGGGGUAGAGCACUGUUUCGGCAAGGGGGUCAUCCCGACUUACCAACCCGAUGCAAACUGCGAAUACCGGAGAAUGUUAUCACGGGAGACACACGGCGGGUGCUAACGUCCGUCGUGAAGAGGGAAACAACCCAGACCGCCAGCUAAGGUCCCAAAGUCAUGGUUAAGUGGGAAACGAUGUGGGAAGGCCCAGACAGCCAGGAUGUUGGCUUAGAAGCAGCCAUCAUUUAAAGAAAGCGUAAUAGCUCACUGGUCGAGUCGGCCUGCGCGGAAGAUGUAACGGGGCUAAACCAUGCACCGAAGCUGCGGCAGCGACACUAUGUGUUGUUGGGUAGGGGAGCGUUCUGUAAGCCUGUGAAGGUGGCCUGUGAGGGUUGCUGGAGGUAUCAGAAGUGCGAAUGCUGACAUAAGUAACGAUAAAGCGGGUGAAAAGCCCGCUCGCCGGAAGACCAAGGGUUCCUGUCCAACGUUAAUCGGGGCAGGGUGAGUCGACCCCUAAGGCGAGGCCGAAAGGCGUAGUCGAUGGGAAACAGGUUAAUAUUCCUGUACUUGGUGUUACUGCGAAGGGGGGACGGAGAAGGCUAUGUUGGCCGGGCGACGGUUGUCCCGGUUUAAGCGUGUAGGCUGGUUUUCCAGGCAAAUCCGGAAAACCAAGGCUGAGGCGUGAUGACGAGGCACUACGGUGCUGAAGCGACAAAUGCCCUGCUUCCAGGAAAAGCCUCUAAGCAUCAGGUAACAUCAAAUCGUACCCCAAACCGACACAGGUGGUCAGGUAGAGAAUACCAAGGCGCUUGAGAGAACUCGGGUGAAGGAACUAGGCAAAAUGGUGCCGUAACUUCGGGAGAAGGCACGCUGAUAUGUAGGUGAAGCGACUUGCUCGUGGAGCUGAAAUCAGUCGAAGAUACCAGCUGGCUGCAACUGUUUAUUAAAAACACAGCACUGUGCAAACACGAAAGUGGACGUAUACGGUGUGACGCCUGCCCGGUGCCGGAAG
RNAcentral lists this ribosomal RNA (1721 nucleotides) under Escherichia coli. RNAcentral describes it as "partial 23S ribosomal RNA". It matches the Rfam family "Bacterial large subunit ribosomal RNA", at positions 126 to 1875 of the family's 2925-position model. Lineage: Bacteria; Pseudomonadati; Pseudomonadota; Gammaproteobacteria; Enterobacterales; Enterobacteriaceae. The record is from RNAcentral.